This is a long non-coding RNA of Manduca sexta (tobacco hornworm), 1100 nucleotides long. RefSeq lists it as uncharacterized. The transcript is spliced from 3 exons. NCBI's taxonomy places the organism in Eukaryota, Metazoa, Arthropoda, Insecta, Lepidoptera, Sphingidae. The record is from RefSeq and is a predicted model, not a curated record.
AUAGAAGUUCAGUUUACAUUUUCAGUUUAGUUCAAAUCUCGCAGAACUGUCACGUCAGUAUUACUUACUUACCUUUUGAUAAUAAACGUUUAUUAUUAUUAUAUGUUAUUUUUAAAUCUCCUAUCCGGAGGAUCCUUGUCUAAUAUGAGAGAAGUACUAGAUAGAAGUAAUUGGGGAUAUUUUUGUCCUGUGCUGUUAGUAUGUUAUGACAGAGACCGUAUUUUGAAAUGAAAUAACAAGAAACAACAGAUAACACUUAUGCAAUGUUCAGAGCAACAAAAACUGUAUACACUUUAUUGCUCUAAGCAUUUUAUCAGGCAUUUUGAACUUUUCUUAUAAACCUUAUUAACUACAUAACACCAUGAAAUAUGGGUAAAAUAAUAAUAAAAUAUAGAUCCUUGGUGUGAAAGUGAUAAUUUUAAUAAAUAUUAUCCCAUUAAUUCAACAAAAGCACACAAGGGCACAUACAUAGUAGUGUGUAUUUGUGUUGAAUCUAAGACAGGAGAGCAGCUGCCCAUCCUCUGCCCCUGGUGAUACCAAUGCCAUCGAAUAAUAUUUACAGAACUCGAGAAGCAAGUAAUAUGCUAUAUAGGCUAAGUCCCUGUUCCGCCGAUACGUCAUAUAAAUCUCGGAAAAACAGCGAGUGUUCGCGCAUGUGACGGUUUUUUAUUGUUCCUGUAGACACGUGGUUAUAAACAAUGAAUAAAACAAAUUCAAGGAUAUAAAAUGCAUUUUCCUUCUUCUUAAAGAUGUUUCAGUAGCUCUAAAUUGUAUUUAAUGAUGUGAUCUGUUUAUUUUUCCUGUCUGGAUUCUUUUAGACUGUAAAUCUAUGUAAUCUAAUCUUAUUUGGCUUUCUUGUUCAACAAUUGAAUAAGGCAAAGUAGAUAAACUUACUACACAGAGAUACUUCAAAAGUUAAGUGGACCCAUUUUUAAAUACAAAAAAUCAUAUGUGAUUAAUGUAUCUAUUGUAUUCUAUUUAUUGUAUACGAGCUCACUGUUAGAAGGUUUUAUAAUCUAUUUGUUGUGUAAAUUGAAUCAUAUAUAACAUAUAAGUCUUUUUCAGUGAAAAUUUUCAAUAAUCCUAAAAGAUAAAUAAAG